This 1512-nucleotide ribosomal RNA is filed under the name Clostridium botulinum F str. Langeland. Its description in RNAcentral is "16S ribosomal RNA". It matches the Rfam family "Bacterial small subunit ribosomal RNA". The record is from RNAcentral. Lineage: Bacteria; Bacillati; Bacillota; Clostridia; Eubacteriales; Clostridiaceae.
UAAAUUUAGAGUUUGAUCCUGGCUCAGGACGAACGCUGGCGGCGUGCUUAACACAUGCAAGUCGAGCGAUGAAGCUUCCUUCGGGAAGUGGAUUAGCGGCGGACGGGUGAGUAACACGUGGGUAACCUGCCUCAAAGUGGGGGAUAGCCUUCCGAAAGGAAGAUUAAUACCGCAUAAUAUAAGAGAAUCGCAUGAUUUUCUUAUCAAAGAUUUAUUGCUUUGAGAUGGACCCGCGGCGCAUUAGCUAGUUGGUAUGGUAACGGCUUACCAAGGCAACGAUGCGUAGCCGACCUGAGAGGGUGAUCGGCCACAUUGGAACUGAGACACGGUCCAGACUCCUACGGGAGGCAGCAGUGGGGAAUAUUGCGCAAUGGGGGAAACCCUGACGCAGCAACGCCGCGUGGGUGAUGAAGGUCUUCGGAUUGUAAAGCCCUGUUUUCUAGGACGAUAAUGACGGUACUAGAGGAGGAAGCCACGGCUAACUACGUGCCAGCAGCCGCGGUAAUACGUAGGUGGCGAGCGUUGUCCGGAUUUACUGGGCGUAAAGGGUGCGUAGGCGGAUGUUUAAGUGGGAUGUGAAAUCCCCGGGCUUAACCUGGGGGCUGCAUUCCAAACUGGAUAUCUAGAGUGCAGGAGAGGAAAGCGGAAUUCCUAGUGUAGCGGUGAAAUGCGUAGAGAUUAGGAAGAACACCAGUGGCGAAGGCGGCUUUCUGGACUGUAACUGACGCUGAGGCACGAAAGCGUGGGUAGCAAACAGGAUUAGAUACCCUGGUAGUCCACGCCGUAAACGAUGGAUACUAGGUGUAGGGGGUAUCAACUCCCCCUGUGCCGCAGUUAACACAAUAAGUAUCCCGCCUGGGGAGUACGGUCGCAAGAUUAAAACUCAAAGGAAUUGACGGGGGCCCGCACAAGCAGCGGAGCAUGUGGUUUAAUUCGAAGCAACGCGAAGAACCUUACCUGGACUUGACAUCCCUUGCAUAGCCUAGAGAUAGGUGAAGCCCUUCGGGGCAAGGAGACAGGUGGUGCAUGGUUGUCGUCAGCUCGUGUCGUGAGAUGUUAGGUUAAGUCCUGCAACGAGCGCAACCCUUGUUAUUAGUUGCUACCAUUAAGUUGAGCACUCUAAUGAGACUGCCUGGGUAACCAGGAGGAAGGUGGGGAUGACGUCAAAUCAUCAUGCCCCUUAUGUCCAGGGCUACACACGUGCUACAAUGGUAGGUACAAUAAGACGCAAGACCGUGAGGUGGAGCAAAACUUAUAAAACCUAUCUCAGUUCGGAUUGUAGGCUGCAACUCGCCUACAUGAAGCUGGAGUUGCUAGUAAUCGCGAAUCAGAAUGUCGCGGUGAAUACGUUCCCGGGCCUUGUACACACCGCCCGUCACACCAUGAGAGCUGGUAACACCCGAAGUCCGUGAGGUAACCGUAAGGAGCCAGCGGCCGAAGGUGGGAUUAGUGAUUGGGGUGAAGUCGUAACAAGGUAGCCGUAGGAGAACCUGCGGCUGGAUCACCUCCUUU